GUCGAAUCCUAUAACCUGACACAAGUGUCCGUGCAAGAGCACAUUCGUGAUUUUUCAAUCUGUGGCCUUCAUCAAUUAUCAGAUAGUGCCAAUGAAUUUUCUUCAGAAAUGCUUUGUCUCUCAUAAUAAGAUCAUAAUGUGUGAUCAACACACUGAACCUCCCCUCUCCUGUCAACUCCUCCCUCAGUGCCUUCCUUUCUUCCAAACGACCAUCGUAAAGAAUAGCAACAAUGCUAGGAGCCCAUGUUGAGAAUUCCGUAAUCCAAUUAGGUAGUACAGCUUU
RNAcentral lists this unclassified non-coding RNA (283 nucleotides) under Hevea brasiliensis (rubber tree). Lineage: Eukaryota; Viridiplantae; Streptophyta; Magnoliopsida; Malpighiales; Euphorbiaceae. The record is from RNAcentral.